CUACGUGCCAGCAGCCGCGGUAAUACGUAGGGCGCGAGCGUUGUCCGGAAUUAUUGGGCGUAAAGAGCUUGUAGGCGGUUUGUCGCGUCUGCUGUGAAAGGCCGGGGCUUAACCCCGUGUAUUGCAGUGGGUACGGGCAGACUAGAGUGCAGUAGGGGAGACUGGAAUUCCUGGUGUAGCGGUGGAAUGCGCAGAUAUCAGGAGGAACACCGAUGGCGAAGGCAGGUCUCUGGGCUGUAACUGACGCUGAGAAGCGAAAGCAUGGGGAGCGAACAGGAUUAGAUACCCUGGUAGUCCAUGCCGUAAACGUUGGGCACUAGGUGUGGGGAACAUUCCACGUUCUCCGCGCCGUAGCUAACGCAUUAAGUGCCCCGCCUGGGGAGUACGGCCGCAAGGCUAAAACUCAAAGAAAUUGACGGGGGCCCGCACAAGCGGCGGAGCAUGCAGAUUAAUUCGAUGCAACGCGAAGAACCUUACCAAGGCUUGACAU
This 490-nucleotide ribosomal RNA is filed under the name uncultured bacterium. RNAcentral's name for it is "bacterial SSU rRNA". It matches the Rfam family "Bacterial small subunit ribosomal RNA", at positions 501 to 987 of the family's 1533-position model. The record is from RNAcentral.